This is a long non-coding RNA of Planococcus citri (citrus mealybug), 1404 nucleotides long. RefSeq lists it as uncharacterized. The transcript is spliced from 2 exons. The record is from RefSeq and is a predicted model, not a curated record. NCBI's taxonomy places the organism in Eukaryota, Metazoa, Arthropoda, Insecta, Hemiptera, Pseudococcidae.
ACCUAUAAAAUUGCAUGAGAUAAGUUGUAAUUUUUUUUCGAUUUAAAUUUGAAAUGAAUUUAGUCGUAAUUGUUACAGAAUAUAAAGAUGAAUGUAUGUACCAUUGUGCCAGAAAAGAACCAAGCAAAAAAAGAACAUCUCAUAACCACCUUCAACCGAUUUGCGACGAGCCACAUCCACUCGACCAAGAGAAAAGGAGAGUAGACGAGGGAUACAGAAACAGGGACGAAACUAAAGGUUAUGCGGACGGAGGAGGGGGGGUACCACCGACAAUUUGUCGAAUUUUGAUAGGUGAAAACACAAUGUUUUUUAUGUCAAGAGUUUAAUUUUUUGGGUUUCAACAUUUUAGAAUUUUGAAUGAUGAUUUUUUAGAAAUUUCAAGUUUGGAAAAAAAAGCAAACAGACCCGAACGAACUGAAGGAAAAAACGUUCGAGAAUUCAUAUCCUGAUAGGUGAAAAAGGUUUGUUCUUUUUUGUACGAGGAGUUUGAUUUUUUUGGUUUCAAAAUUUAAAGAUCUUGUAAAUUCAAGUUUUGAGAAGUAAAAAACGUUAUUAUUUUUUAUGUGAAGAGUUCAUUUUUUGAGUGUGGAUAAUAGAUUUUUAAAAGGCUUGAUUUUGAAAAAGAAAAACUAACAUGCCUGAAUUUGGCAUUUUUUAAAGUUCAGUAAGUACCUAAGUAUCUAAUAGAACAGACAUUUUCCUUAUGUAGAAAUUCAGAAACAGAAAAAUUGCAUCCGUCAAAAAGCGUUUGCCAUCGAUCCUUUAAUUUUUUCAGCAUCUCUCGAACUCGAACAUUCAGGCCAUACCGAGACUUCAAUUCAGCAUACAAAAUUCCUGCUGAUGAAUGUUUUUUGCAUCUGCUGGCCGAUUAGGAUUUGUUAGCAUUUUGGUGACAAGAGAACCGCUACAGGAAGUCCGCUGCCGAUUUGAACAAUAAUAGGUACUAGGUACCUAUUUUUGGAAUGACCUAAAAAUCCCAUCAUCAAAAUUCAAAGUUGCCAAAUUUAGCCCAGAAUUUUGAUUCUGACAUAUUUUUGACUUUUCCUUUUUUUUUAUUCAGAUCUAAAAGUUUUCUGCCACAUCUUCUUCAGGGCCAUAUUAUUGUCUGCAGAAUUUAACUCGUAAGAUUGGUUUCUUACUUAAUUACUUAAAAUUGCGUUUUUAUUGAAAUUUAUUCAAGAAAUUUUGCUGGAAGGAAAAUGAAUAUGAAAGCCAUGUGCACUAAAUGCAUUUUUAAAAUUCCUCUUGGCCUAAAAAUAAUUUUUAAAAUGAAAGGAUAAUAUGAUCUACCAGGUAAACACCUACCUAUUAAAAGUACCUAGUAAUUUAGCAAUGCUGCAAGCUGGUAUUAAAUUCUCUCAUUAUUAACGUGACUGAAUAAUUAUUUUUUUUUACAAAUAACAA